Molecule: signal recognition particle RNA, 97 nt
Filed under: Pseudomonadota bacterium
Lineage: Bacteria; Pseudomonadati; Pseudomonadota
Description: Proteobacteria bacterium (wastewater metagenome) signal recognition particle sRNA small type
Rfam family: Bacterial small signal recognition particle RNA
About the family: The signal recognition particle (SRP) is a universally conserved ribonucleoprotein involved in the co-translational targeting of proteins to membranes. Archaeal SRP consists of a 7S RNA and homologues of the eukaryotic SRP19 and SRP54 proteins.
Source: RNAcentral
GGCCCGACCCCUGCGAGCCCUGUGCUGUGAACCCCGCCAGGACCGGAAGGUAGCAACGGUAACAGAAGCAGGCUUUUGGCAGGUCAGUUGGGCCCUC